This is a non-coding RNA of Physcomitrium patens, 694 nucleotides long. The record is from RefSeq and is a predicted model, not a curated record. Lineage: Eukaryota; Viridiplantae; Streptophyta; Bryopsida; Funariales; Funariaceae.
AGAGCAACCAACAAGGCAAGCCUCAGAUCUCACUCACUCACUCAACCACCCUCACAAAUGCUUUUUGUUUGAUUGUUUGUUUGUUUUUCUUUUCUUUGCUUUUCUGUUUGUGUGCAGAACUGUGUCCAUGGAGCUGGGCUGCAAACGGCACCGCAACGGCAGCUUGAAGGAAUCCCAAACCACAGCCAUGACUAUGGCCUAGUUAAGAAUCUGGAGCACUGGGUCCCAUGUGUAGAGAGGCCUGGAAGAAGAGACCCACCUGGAUUUAGAAUGUCGCCAAUGGGUGUGAGCGCAACCAACACUACAGUGGAGUAAAAACCAUGAGAGUUGGAUGGUUGUGCAAUCGUUAUUACAAUCUAGCUCUGAUAUGUAACGUGAUGUUUAGACAAGUAAUUCUGGACUACCCUGUUUGUGAUUCGAGAAGGAGUUUCUGAGUGAGUCUGGAACUCUUCCCUUGUACAUGUCCACAAAUUAGAAUGAGGGUUUCACAAGCGUUAUCUUUUUACUUAGAUCCGCCUCUAGGUGGCCGAAUGUAUUUGUUGGCCGCAACCAGUGAGACAAGUCGCCGCUGAAUCUGCCAUUUCAAGGUCAUCCAAUCAUAAAAUGCGAAACAAAGAAGAGGUAGAAGAGGGAGAAGAAGAAGAAGAUAAGAAAUUAUGAGGAAAGAGAGCAAAUAGUAUAGGCUAGGAUGACA